RNAcentral lists this ribosomal RNA (618 nucleotides) under uncultured archaeon. RNAcentral's name for it is "bacterial SSU rRNA". It matches the Rfam family "Archaeal small subunit ribosomal RNA", at positions 52 to 669 of the family's 1478-position model. The record is from RNAcentral.
UGCGAGUCAUAUGUUCUUCGUGAACAUGGCGUACUGCUCAGUAACACGUGGAUAACCUGCCCUUGGGACCGGGAUAACCCCGGGAAACUGGGGAUAAUACCGGAUAACGCAUAUCUGCUGGAAUGCUUUAUGCGUAAAAUGGAUUUGUCUGCCCAAGGAUGGGUCUGCGGCCUAUCAGGUAGUAGUGGGUGUAAUGUACCUACUAGCCUACGACGGGUACGGGUUGUGAGAGCAAGAGCCCGGAGAUGGAUUCUGAGACAUGAAUCCAGGCCCUACGGGGCGCAGCAGGCGCGAAAACUUUACAAUGCGGGAAACCGUGAUAAGGGGACACCGAGUGCCAGCAUCAUAUGUUGGCUGUCCAGACGUGUAAAAUACAUCUGUUAGCAAGGGCCGGGCAAGACCGGUGCCAGCCGCCGCGGUAACACCGGCGGCCCGAGUGGUGAUCGUGAUUAUUGGGUCUAAAGGGUCCGUAGCCGGUUUGGUCAGUCCUCCGGGAAAUCUGACGGCUCAACCGUUAGGCUUUCGGUGGAUACUGCCAGACUCGGAACCGGGAGAGGUAAGAGGUACUACAGGGGUAGGAGUGAAAUCUUGUAAUCCCUGUGAGACCACCUGUGGCGA